CUGGGAGGACCAUCUCCUAAGGCUAAAUACUCUCUAGUGACCGAUAGUGAACCAGUACCGUGAGGGAAAGGUGAAAAGCACCCCGGAAGGGGAGUGAAAUAGAACCUGAAACCGUGUGCUUACAAGUAGUCAGAGCCCGUUAAUGGGUGAUGGCGUGCCUUUUGUAGAAUGAACCGGCGAGUUACGAUUUGAUGCAAGGUUAAGCAGUAAAUGUGGAGCCGUAGCGAAAGCGAGUCUGAAUAGGGCGUUUAGUAUUUGGUCGUAGACCCGAAACCAGGUGAUCUACCCUUGGUCAGGUUGAAGUUCAGGUAACACUGAAUGGAGGACCGAACCGACUUACGUUGAAAAGUGAGCGGAUGAACUGAGGGUAGCGGAGAAAUUCCAAUCGAACCUGGAGAUAGCUGGUUCUCUCCGAAAUAGCUUUAGGGCUAGCCUCAAGUGAUGAUUAUUGGAGGUAGAGCACUGUUUGGACGAGGGGCCCCUCUCGGGUUACCGAAUUCAGACAAACUCCGAAUGCCAAUUAAUUUAACUUGGGAGUCAGAACAUGGGUGAUAAGGUCCGUGUUCGAAAGGGAAACAGCCCAGACCACCAGCUAAGGUCCCAAAAUAUAUGUUAAGUGGAAAAGGAUGUGGCGUUGCCCAGACAACUAGGAUGUUGGCUUAGAAGCAGCCAUCAUUUAAAGAGUGCGUAAUAGCUCACUAGUCGAGUGACACUGCGCCGAAAAUGUACCGGGGCUAAACAUA
RNAcentral lists this ribosomal RNA (743 nucleotides) under Staphylococcus aureus. RNAcentral describes it as "partial 23S ribosomal RNA". It matches the Rfam family "Bacterial large subunit ribosomal RNA", at positions 444 to 1190 of the family's 2925-position model. Lineage: Bacteria; Bacillati; Bacillota; Bacilli; Caryophanales; Staphylococcaceae. The record is from RNAcentral.